This 211-nucleotide ribosomal RNA is filed under the name uncultured bacterium. RNAcentral describes it as "partial 16S ribosomal RNA". It matches the Rfam family "Bacterial small subunit ribosomal RNA", at positions 524 to 735 of the family's 1533-position model. The record is from RNAcentral.
UACGGGGGUGAGCAAGCGUUGUUCGGAUUACUGGGCGUAAAGGGCGCGUAGGCGGCGUGACAAGUCACUUGUGAAAUCUCCGGGCUUAACUCGGAACGGUCAAGUGAUACUGUCGUGCUAGAGUACAGAAGGGGCAACUGGAAUUCUCGGUGUAGCGGUGAAAUGCGUAGAUAUCUGGAGGAACACCGGUGGCGAAGGCGGCACCUCGACG